CACCUCUGUGGUCGCCACGCUGACUCCCCUCUCCAGUUAAACCAUUUUACAGUUGAAGAAACCAAAGCUCAGAGAAGUGAAGUGUGUUGCUGAGGUCAGCCAAGCUAGACUCAAAUCCAGGUUCCUGAUCAGCUAGCUCCUUUGGCUUUGAUGGGCUGGUACACCUUCAACCCAUCUCCAUCACAUGAAGAGUGUCUCAGAGUGAAUCUCUCCUUAGGACAAG
Molecule: non-coding RNA, 223 nt
Organism: Microcebus murinus (gray mouse lemur)
Lineage: Eukaryota; Metazoa; Chordata; Mammalia; Primates; Cheirogaleidae
Source: RefSeq, a predicted model, not a curated record